AGAGUUUGAUCCUGGCUCAGAUUGAACGCUGGCGGCAUGCCUUACACAUGCAAGUCGAACGGCAGCACGGGAGCAAUCCUGGUGGCGAGUGGCGAACGGGUGAGUAAUACAUCGGAACGUGCCCAAUCGUGGGGGAUAACGCAGCGAAAGCUGUGCUAAUACCGCAUACGAUCUACGGAUGAAAGCAGGGGACCGCAAGGCCUUGCGCGAAUGGAGCGGCCGAUGGCAGAUUAGGUAGUUGGUGGGGUAAAGGCUCACCAAGCCUUCGAUCUGUAGCUGGUCUGAGAGGACGACCAGCCACACUGGGACUGAGACACGGCCCAGACUCCUACGGGAGGCAGCAGUGGGGAAUUUUGGACAAUGGGCGCAAGCCUGAUCCAGCCAUGCCGCGUGCAGGAUGAAGGCCUUCGGGUUGUAAACUGCUUUUGUACGGAACGAAACGGCUCUUUCUAAUAAAGAGGGCUAAUGACGGUACCGUAAGAAUAAGCACCUGCUAACUACGUGCCAGCAGCCGCGGUAAUACGUAGGGUGCAAGCGUUAAUCGGAAUUACUGGGCGUAAAGCGUGCGCAGGCGGUGAUGUAAGACAGUUGUGAAAUCCCCGGGCUCAACCUGGGAACUGCAUCUGUGACUGCAUCGCUGGAGUGCGGCAGAGGGGGAUGGAAUUCCGCGUAGCAGUGAAAUGCGUAGAUAUGCGGAGGAACACCGAUGGCGAAGGCAAUCCCCUGGGCCUGCACUGACGCUCAUGCACGAAAGCGUGGGGACAACAGGAUUAGAUACCCUAGUAGUCC
RNAcentral lists this ribosomal RNA (789 nucleotides) under uncultured bacterium. RNAcentral's name for it is "bacterial SSU rRNA". It matches the Rfam family "Bacterial small subunit ribosomal RNA", at positions 8 to 796 of the family's 1533-position model. The record is from RNAcentral.